Molecule: ribosomal RNA, 624 nt
Filed under: uncultured organism
Description: bacterial SSU rRNA
Rfam family: Bacterial small subunit ribosomal RNA
Source: RNAcentral
CUAGGUGUGGGGCUGAGAAGGUAUCAUGUGCAGCAGCUAAUCUCGCUAAGCAUCCUGCAUCGGGAUUACGUCCGCAAGGGUACAAAUCAUGAGAAUUGACGGGGCACCGCACAAGCAGCGGAGCGUGUGGUUUACUUCGAUGCUACACGAAGAACAUUACCUGGGUGUGACAUGUACGUGGUAGAGAAGCGAACGCGGAUCGACCCUUCCGGUAGUGUACACAGAUGCUGCAUGGCUGUCGUCAGCUCGUGCCGUGAGGUGUCGGGUUAAGUCCCGUAACGAGCGCAACCCUUGCCCUUAGUUACAAGUGUCUAAGGGGACUGCCGGCGGUAAGCCGGAGGGAGGUGGGGAUGACGUCAAGUCAGCAUGGCCCUUAUAUCCAGGGCUACACACACGAUACAAUGGUCAUUACAAAGGGCAGCGAAGCCCCGAGGUGAAGCGAAUCCCAACAAAGAUGAUCUAAGUUCGGAAUGCAGUCUGCAACUUUCCCGCAUGAAGCCGGAGUUGCUAGUUACCGCGUGUCAGCUAUAUUGCGGGGAAUACGUUCCCGGGGCUUGUACACACCGCCCGUCACGUCAUGGGAGUCGGUAAUGCCCGAAGCUGGUAGUGUGGCCCUCAAGGGGG